RNAcentral lists this transfer RNA (66 nucleotides) under Syrphus torvus. Its description in RNAcentral is "tRNA-Pro". Lineage: Eukaryota; Metazoa; Arthropoda; Insecta; Diptera; Syrphidae. The record is from RNAcentral.
CAAGAGAUAGUUUAAUUAAAAUAUUAAUUUUGGAGAUUAAUGAUAAAGAUCUGUCUUUUUUCUUGA